RNAcentral lists this ribosomal RNA (253 nucleotides) under uncultured bacterium. Its description in RNAcentral is "partial 16S ribosomal RNA". It matches the Rfam family "Bacterial small subunit ribosomal RNA", at positions 524 to 776 of the family's 1533-position model. The record is from RNAcentral.
UACGUAGGGUGCGAGCGUUAAUCGGAAUUACUGGGCGUAAGGCGUGCGCAGGCGGUGCUGUAAGACCGAUGUGAAAUCCCCGGGCUUAACCUGGGAACUGCAUUGGUGACUGCAUUGCUGGAGUAUGGCAGAGGGGGGUGGAAUUCCACGUGUAGCAGUGAAAUGCGUAGAGAUGUGGAGGAACACCGAUGGCGAAGGCAGCCCCCUGGGCCAAUACUGACGCUCAUGCACGAAAGCGUGGGGAGCAAACAGG